AGUGGCGAAAGGGAUAGUAAUACAUAGAUAUCUGCCCCCCGGUCGAGGAUAGCUACGGGAAACUGUAGGUAAUACUCGAUGAUUUCCCCGGAACAAAGGUGUGAUUCCGCCGGGGGAUGAGUCUAUGUCCUAUUAGCUUGUUGGCGGGGUAAUGGCCCACCAAGGCUCUGAUGGGUACGAGGCGUGAGAGC
RNAcentral lists this ribosomal RNA (191 nucleotides) under Planctomycetaceae bacterium. RNAcentral's name for it is "partial 16S ribosomal RNA". It matches the Rfam family "Bacterial small subunit ribosomal RNA", at positions 94 to 299 of the family's 1533-position model. Lineage: Bacteria; Pseudomonadati; Planctomycetota; Planctomycetia; Planctomycetales; Planctomycetaceae. The record is from RNAcentral.